Molecule: unclassified non-coding RNA, 324 nt
Filed under: plant metagenome
Description: partial contains 5.8S ribosomal RNA, internal transcribed spacer 2, and large subunit ribosomal RNA
Rfam family: 5.8S ribosomal RNA (bases 1-105)
Source: RNAcentral
GAAAUGCGAUAACUAAUGUGAAUUGCAGAAUUCAGUGAAUCAUCGAGUCUUUGAACGCACAUUGCGCCCCCUGGUAUUCCGGGGGGCAUGCCUGUCCGAGCGUCAUUGCUGCCCUCAAGCCCGGCUUGUGUGUUGGGCCCUCGUCCCCCGGCUCCCGGGGGACGGGCCCGAAGGGCAGCGGCGGCACCGCGUCCGGUCCUCGAGCGUAUGGGGCUUCGUCUUCCGCUCCGUAGGCCCGGCCGGCGCCCGCCGACGCAUUUAUUUGCAACUUGUUUUUUUCCAGGUUGACCUCGGAUCAGGUAGGGAUACCCGCUGAACUUAAGC